UACGAAGGUGGCAAGCGUUGUUCGGAUUUACUGGGCGUACAGGGAGCGUAGGCGGUUGGAUAAGCCCUCCGUGAAAUCUCCAGGCUUAACCUGGAAAGUGCAGAGGGGACUGUUCAGCUAGAGGAUGGGAGAGGAGCGCGGAAUUCCCGGUGUAGCGGUGAAAUGCGUAGAGAUCGGGAGGAACACCGGUGGCGAAGGCGGUUCUCUGGGCCUUACCUGACGCUGAGGAGCGAAAGCGUGGGGAGCGAACAGG
RNAcentral lists this ribosomal RNA (253 nucleotides) under uncultured bacterium. RNAcentral's name for it is "partial 16S ribosomal RNA". It matches the Rfam family "Bacterial small subunit ribosomal RNA", at positions 524 to 776 of the family's 1533-position model. The record is from RNAcentral.